AAGUCGUAACAAGGUUUCCGUAGGUGAACCUGCGGAAGGAUCAUUAACACGUAUCCAAACGUUAAAACCCCCCUGUGAACCUUCAUAAUUCCUGAAAGCCCUCCUGCGCAUCGUUGUGGCGAUCCCUAGUAAAUCAUCGUCUGAAACAGAUUUUGAGUUAGGGACUACCAGCGCGACGGGACCUGGCGGAAUCCUGCAAACAUUCUGGUGCCCCCAAGCAACCAUCAUCUGAAAGUGUUGGUGAAUUGUGCAAGGGCGGCGUCGUCAACGCUCGCUGUAGGCCCACACGGCCGGCGACCGGAGUCUUCCCACGACCUACUACGUGGCCCAUAAAACACACCCAUGCAUGGCAAAAGGGCGCGCCUAACGGUUGUACCCACCCAUAAAACCGAACAACUGUUAACAAUGGAUAUCUUGGUUCUC
RNAcentral lists this unclassified non-coding RNA (423 nucleotides) under fungal sp. Its description in RNAcentral is "partial internal transcribed spacer region". The stretch from base 1 to 46 matches the Rfam family "Eukaryotic small subunit ribosomal RNA", at positions 1786 to 1831 of the family's 1831-position model. RNAcentral also lists the same sequence under 1 other name. The record is from RNAcentral. Lineage: Eukaryota; Fungi.